UGUGCCUUUAAAUCUCUGUUACUAAGGACCUUUGUUGUCUAGGGGAGGAAUGCAAGGUGAACAGGUGACUUAUCUGGCCAAUGGGAUCUCUAACUUGCUACCAGACCUAGCUAGUAGGAGCUAGCCUAGUUCAGUGGAGUUAAGGAGUUGAAGAGGAGUGAGGUACAGCUUGAGUGAGGAGCUGAGGAGUCUGUGUGAUCCAGAAGGAGGUCUAAUCAAGCUUGCACGCUUCUACUUAACCUCUGCACCUGUAGUGAAAGUCAAAGCUGCAAGCGGGCAGUUGGCCGUGAGUAGACCGCUGGGACCUGCGCAGCACCACCUCUUGGGGACCAGGAUUUGGAGAAUGGACCCCAGAAGAGGAAGCACCAAAGGAAAAGGGGGAAUACGCAACAGUGCUCCUUAUUGAUACCUAUUACAGCUAAGUAUCUGCGUAUACAAUUUUUGCUUUUAGUCAUUUUGUGGAGCUUGUAUGUUACCCUUAUUUUUUAUGUAUUCACCUGCUUAGAAAGCUGUGAGCAAUAAUUCAAGCGGUAGCGCUAAAUUUCAGUAUAUGUGCAAAUUGUCAGACUCUACUGUCAAAUGCCUAUUGCUAAUCAAUUGCCACUGUAUCAUAAAAAGAACAUGUAAUCCACUAGCUGAAAAAUAAUGCAAGUUUAUUGUGCAGAGUCAUAAAGAGACGCUGCCUGCACCGGAAGUCCUGGCUGAAGUGACAGAACAUGUUUGCUCUAGUAGAUGGGUCGGAUGAUGGAGGAUCACUCUGCCUGAUUUGAUCGCAAGGAAUCCAUGUGGACCUACUUCCAUUCCUAAAGUCUUGUGUUGGACCUAAUCUAUGGAGCGUUGCACCAGUACAAACAGAUGCCAUCUGCUAUGAAAACCCACUUCUUCAAAAACAUGGUGAGCACCGAAGCUAUUCCCAGUCCAUUGCCUAUGGUAACGCCUGGGAGGCCGGUUGGUGGAUUCUGGGUGAGCUUUCGGCGACCGCAAGCUUCCCGGACCAUUUGUGCAGAAGCCUGGAGAGAAGAAUGCCGUGGGGAUAAGUAUCAAAAGUAAGGGCACUGUUUUCCCAUAUCCAAGAUGGCACUGUGACCCUCUAGGUACGCAGAGCGCAUGCGCUGAGGCGAGCAUCUCUACUCCACAGCAACGGCCAUCACAUGACAAGUCACUUGACUUCCAGAGCGAUACGUCACUUCCGGUCCGAUGGAUGGACCCCGGAAGUAUCCUAGCGUCCACGCUGACCAGCUUAUGGAUUCCACAGUGAUUUACGGCGAGUGUCCUGCCUCUCCCCGCCCACCUCAUCAAAAUCUGCACCUGUCAUUUUAAUAUGGUAUGCACUAACGAUCGGAAAAAAUGCCGAUGGUCCUACAUAUGUAUUAUUCACAUGGAUGUAUGUUGCUAUUUAUAUGCAAUUGUUUUAUGCACAACUUUUAAAAUGUUUAUAGUAAAUUGCUUAAUUGUUUACGAGGUCCUGCGUGACCAUAAAAAGUCAGAAGCUGUAACACUGUUUGCUUGAUAAUGAUGGUGUGAGACCAUCGAAACGUCGCCUUUUUUUUGCACAUUCAAGAUGA
Hyla sarda is the source of this 1565-nucleotide long non-coding RNA. RefSeq lists it as uncharacterized. The record is from RefSeq and is a predicted model, not a curated record. The transcript has 4 exons. NCBI's taxonomy places the organism in Eukaryota, Metazoa, Chordata, Amphibia, Anura, Hylidae.